CCUACGGGUGGCAGCAGUGAGGAAUAUUGGUCAAUGGGCGCGAGCCUGAACCAGCCAAGUCGCGUGAGGGAAGACGGUCCUAUGGAUUGUAAACCUCUUUUGUCGGGGAGCAAAAGACGCCACGCGUGGCGUUCCGAGAGUACCCGAAGAAAAAGCAUCGGCUAACUCCGUGCCAGCAGCCGCGGUAAUCCGGAGGAUGCGAGCGUUAUCCGGAUUUAUUGGGUUUAAAGGGUGCGCAGGCGGAAGAUCAAGUCAGCGGUAAAAUUGAGAGGCUCAACCUCUUCGAGCCGUUGAAACUGGUGUUCUUGAGUGAGUGAGAAGGAUGCGGAAGGCGUGGUGUAGCGGUGAAAUGCAUAGAUAUCACGCAGAACUCCGAUUGCGAAGGCAGCAUACCGGCGCUCAACUGACGCUCAUGCACGAAAGUGUGGGUAUCGAACAGGAUUAGAUACCCUGGUAGUC
RNAcentral lists this ribosomal RNA (459 nucleotides) under uncultured bacterium. Its description in RNAcentral is "partial 16S ribosomal RNA". It matches the Rfam family "Bacterial small subunit ribosomal RNA", at positions 338 to 795 of the family's 1533-position model. The record is from RNAcentral.